CAGUCGCCGCGGUAAUACGGAGGGAGCUAGCGUUGUUCGGAAUUACUGGGCGUAAAGCGCGCGUAGGCGGUUACUCAAGUCAGAGGUGAAAGCCCGGGGCUCAACCCCGGAACUGCCUUUGAAACUAGGUGACUAGAAUCUUGGAGAGGUCAGUGGAAUUCCGAGUGUAGAGGUGAAAUUCGUAGAUAUUCGGAAGAACAUCAGUGGCGAAGGCGGCCAUCUGGGAUAACACUGACGCUGAGGCACGAAAGCGUGGGGAGCAAACAGGAUUAGAGACCCCGGUAGUCCCUGUCUCUUAUAC
RNAcentral lists this ribosomal RNA (301 nucleotides) under uncultured bacterium. Its description in RNAcentral is "partial 16S ribosomal RNA". It matches the Rfam family "Bacterial small subunit ribosomal RNA", at positions 509 to 807 of the family's 1533-position model. The record is from RNAcentral.